UUUAACCUACAUUUUUGCAGAAGUUUGUAGUGUUUAUUUGAUAUUUUAUUGUAUUUUUUAUUUAAAUAAAGAAUGAAAUUUUUAAUUGCUGAGCAUAGUGUGAUUCGAUUGGGUUAGUUACCAUUUAAAAUGCUAAGAACAGUUUCUAUUGUUGGAAGAAAAGUGUCUAUAUUUAUCAAGUAUUUAUCUAAUGUGAAAUAACAAAUUCAUUAAAAGAUAUGUUUGAAUUCUUAUGAUUUCCACUGUUGAAAUGGCAAAACAAUAUAUUUCUAGGAAAUAUCGGAAAUAUCGAAAACGGGAUAUUUUCUAGUGAAAGAAAUACAUUUAAAAAGUGAGUGCAUAUUAAGCUAAGGAGAAAUUUUGUAUAAGAAGUUGUUCCAUAUACAGGACAUGCAGAACAUCAAAAUCCAAUUAAAUUAGUAAAGAGCUGAGGGUAUCUAUACUAUAAAAUUUAUAGUUUUGUCUAUUUUUAUCACCAAAAUA
Molecule: long non-coding RNA, 483 nt
Organism: Sitophilus oryzae (rice weevil)
Lineage: Eukaryota; Metazoa; Arthropoda; Insecta; Coleoptera; Curculionidae
Exons: 4
Source: RefSeq, a predicted model, not a curated record